Molecule: ribosomal RNA, 253 nt
Filed under: uncultured bacterium
Lineage: Bacteria
Description: partial 16S ribosomal RNA
Rfam family: Bacterial small subunit ribosomal RNA
Source: RNAcentral
AACGUAGGAGACAAACGUUAUCCGGAGUUACUGGGCGUAAAGGGCGUGUAGGUGGUGCUGUAAGUCUGGCGUGAAAUUUUUCGGCUUAACCGGGAAAGGUCGUCGGAUACUGCAGGACUAGAGGACGGUAGAGGCGUGUGGAAUUCCGGGUGUAGUGGUGAAAUGCGCAGAUAUCAGGAGGAACACCAAUGGCGAAGGCAGCUCGCUGGGACGGUACUGACGCUGAGACGCGAAAGCGUGGGGAGCAAACAGG